UUUUUUUUUUUUUUUGAGACGUCUCUCUCUGUUGUGUAGGCUGGCGUGCAAUGGCACAACCUUGGCUCACUGCAGCCUCAACCUCCUGGGCUCAAGCAAUCCUCCCACCUCAGCCUCCCAAGUAGUUGGGACUAUAGGUGCAUGCCACCAUACCUGGCUAAUUUUUUGUAGAGACGGGGUGUCACUUUGCUGCCCAGGCUGGUCUUGAACUUCUGGGCUCCAGUGAUCCCCUCCUGCCUCAGCCUCCCAAAGUGUUGGGAUUACAGGCCUGAGCCACUGCACCUGGCCUUUGUUUCGUUGGAGGCAGGGUCUUGCUCUGUCAUCCAGGUUGCAGUGCAGUGGUGCAAAUGUGGCUCAGUGCAGCCUCCUGGGCUUGCACAACUCAAGGGUUCAAGCAAUCCUCCUGCCUCAGCCUCUUGGGUAGCUGAGAUGUAUGCCACCAUGCUGGUUUCAUGGGGCUUUGAGGAGUAAGAGAUGGCUGUGGUGCUCAGCACAUAUUAAGUGCUCAAUAGCCAUUACCUACUGUAAAAAAAGGUUCUGGGGAAAAUGUGAGCAGAUGAGGACUUUCAACUCCCUCACUGAUGUGUCAGGCUUGAAUCUAGUGAGGGGAGUGUCAGUAGGGGUGGCCAAAACCCUAGCCCUUGUCUGAGCAGCCUGAUUACAGCUCUGUUCCUUUCCCCCUUCCCCAAGAGCUAUUCUCUGAGGGCCAGACCUGGUAUGGGCUCCAGAGGUUCGCCUGUGCUGAGAUGCCACAUGGCGCUUAGAGACUCUCCUGAUCUCUGACCCUCUCUGUCUACUCACCACCCUCACGAUCGCUCUGGGAAGCCCAUGAGCAGGAACCAUUAUCUCACCUGACAGAUGCAGAAACUGAUGCCCAAACUGCCCAGGGACAGAGUGAGUGGAGGCAGCAACACAGAUAUCCUAGCUGUCCAGCUGGAUUCUCUGCAGACAGCUCUCCCAGAAGGUUGGGCAUUAUGAAGAAUGAUCUUGCGAAGCCUGGGCUGAGGGGAGCCUGGGACACUGGGAAGGACUUCCCACUGAGCUGCGUUUGGGGAAGCCAGGAAGAAAAACAGCUCCCCUUGUCCUGAGGACUCAGCCCCCUCCUGGUACAGGAUGUUUCUAGUGUGGCAGUGUGACCCCAGGGAACUUGUUCCUUCUGGGCUUGGCCUUUGUAGGCUGAGGGACUGACAUGGCCUAGAGAAGUCCCUGGGGAUCCUUGAGCCAUGGGAGAUGCUAUGGGACAUCUGUGUUGAGGCCAUGUGGGAAGUUAGGGAGGCUGAACUUCCCAAUGUUUGUGUGUGAGGAAGGCUAAUGAGGAAGGCAGGUCUGCCAUGGUGAAGGAGCUGGCCUGGCUGUCCCUCCCUGAUUUUAGAAGAGGAGGCACAUCAGCAGGUUCUCCUUAGGGAACAAGGUCUCCAGGCUUUCGGGCAUAAAGAAAGAAGACCAGCACUACACAGGAGGGAUUCUCCCCCAAACCUUAAUCUAUAGGACUCAGUGAGCGAGUCUUUGCCCCUCCUCCUCCCUCAAGACCUUCUCCUCCUCCUCCCUUGCCACCUUCUCCGGCCUCUUCAAGACAGGAUCUAGGGCUGUGGCCAACAGACCUGCAACUAGGAGGGCCUGCUUUCAUCUCCACAGUCCCGCAUAUAACCACUAUUGCAUGCCAGGCAGGUAACACUAUUGACAGCAACUGGCCCUGCCAAACAAGCCAGAGGGAAUUUCAGAGAGAAUUUGGUCUCUGGAAAGCUCUGGCCCAUAAAAACUCUCCUGCUGGGCCGGGCGCGGUGGCUCACGCCUGUAAUCCCAGCACUUUGGGAGGCCGAGACGGGCGGAUCACGAGGUCAGGAGAUCGAGACCAUCCUGGCUAACACGGUGAAACCCCGUCUCUACUAAAAAGUACAAAAAACUAGCCGGGCGAGGUGGCGGGCGCCUGUAGUCCCAGCUAUUCCAGAGGCUGAGGCAGGAGAAUGGCUUAAACCCGGGAGGCGGAGCUUGCAGUGAGCUGAGAUCCGGCCACUGCACUCCAGCCUGGGCGACAGAGCCAGACUCUGUCUCAAAAAAAACAAAAACAAAAACAAAAAAAACUCUCCUGCUGAAGACAGUGUGGGAGAGAAGUUACCACCUGAUUCUCAGGGAGCAACAGCUUGGGGUCCUGGUGCCCUCCCUCCAUGCAUGGGGUGGCGGAGGCAGAGGGCUCUUUCCCUCUAGCUCAUGCUCCUGUACACUCUUGUCCAAUGCCACAGCUCAGUGAGGAAUCCACCAAAGCUACGAGCAGCAGCUUCCCCUUGCUGAGGAGACCUGGGGUCCCCUUGGUGAUUUGAGGGGGGCUAGUUCUCCCAUUAACCUCUGGCAUCCAAUCCUACCUCCCUGAUCUGAAUCUCUCCCUCUUUGCAGUGCCAACUCCUAUAACCCUCAUUUCUCUCCCUGGAUCACUUCUGCAGCUUCCUGGCUGAGCUUCUUGCCUUGAAGUAGCCCUCCAAUCCCUUUUAUACUCUUCUGCCUGACGGACUGCUCCAGAACAGAGUAGGUAAAAUAAAGUCCCUGGUCAAAUCUAGCCUGUUGCCUGUUUUUGCACAACUCAUGAGCUAAGAAUGGUUUUUAUGUUUAUAAAUGGUUGGGAAAAAAAGUCAAAAGAAUAUUUUGUGACAUAAAAAUCAUAUGAAAUUAUUUCAGUGUGCACAAAUAAAGCGUUAGAACAGAGUCUUACUCUUUCAUUUACAUAUUGUCUGCGGCUGCUCUCACACUAUGAUGGCCGAGUUGGACAGCUGCAACAGAAACUAUAAGUCUCACAGUCUACAAUAUUUACUAUCUGAUCUUUUUUCACAAAACAUUUGCUGAAUCCUGGUCUAGAUCCUAAAUCUGGCCAUGCCACUCUGCUUAAAAUUCUUGUCACUACCUGUGGCGCUCCAUAAGCUGACCCCUGUCCACCUCUCCAGCCUCAUCACCUGUCCCCCUAGUAGUCUGCCUGCUCUGGACAACCCUUCCUCGACCAUUCCCCCAGCCCUGUCUCCUGCUGCUUACCUUCACUCGGCAUGUGCCUCUUUCCUCCUCUAAAUGGCAGUCUACCAUCUCAAGCCUCAGCUCAAACGCUUCCUCCCAUUUCACUUUCCCACAUGUGUCCUGCCCCGACUCCCAGAGCUAACCCAUUUCUACCGCGACUUCACAAAAUAUUCCUCUUAGGACUCUUCAGCUUUUAAUAACCGAUUAAUGACCUAUUGGUGGCAGACCAGCCAAUUCCACUAAGAACAUCUGUUCACAUGUGUGCUCCCUGGAUUACUGAAUGUACGAAACCAGCCUGCAUCUGCUUCCCACAGCCCUGGCACAAGGCUGGCACAGGGUAGGCAUGCAAAUAUUCACCAGAAGAGGCCUGGUUAGCAUUCCACACCUUUUACUUGGCUAGUAUUAUGGAGGAAGACGUGUACAUAUUUUCUAGAUACUGAGUAUCAUUUUUAUGAACUUGAGCAUCUUUGAUGGAUCAGGUACCUCCAUGUAUAUUACACCUUUAACCCUCACAACCCUAAUGAGGUCAGUGAAACUUUCAUUGCAUCAAGUGGCAAGUUGUUAUGUGGCAGAGCUAGAAUCUGAUGUCAGGUCUCCUGCCUUUUGCUGAUUCUGAGAUACUCUCACACGUAUUGUUCAUCCACGGAACCCACUGCUUGAAAGACGUAACAGAUGCUCAUGGGCUUCCUGUUGUGUGUGGGGCCAAUGACCUGCACUACAUGGGCGCAGACAGAGGUGGUUUCAUUGUUUUCUGUCACUUCCCUCCAGCUGCCUGUUCCUGCUGCUGUUCCUGAUCCCUUUCGAAGCACACCGGGUAAGGACCAAAGGACAGCCCUGCUACAGGAGGAGGAGGAUUGAGGAAAAAAAUGAAAAGAAAUAAAAAAAUGAAAACAUCAAAAGGAAGCCCUAUAAAGUUAAAUUCUGUAAUUUAAUUAAGUGCUUGUUUUCGUGACUCUACUUCUCAAGUCUCCUGCUGUUGCUCUGGGGCUUCUGGCUUGUUCUGGGGCAGAAGGAAGUUGCUGGAGGCCUGGCCUCCAGGCUGGAGGGGUGCCAAUGCAAGGGUCAUACUAAUGGAACUAUCAAUGCACCUGCCUUAAAGGAACCUGAAGAAUG
This 4110-nucleotide long non-coding RNA is filed under the name Macaca fascicularis (crab-eating macaque). RNAcentral describes it as "lncRNA (ENSMFAG00000047505.1)". The record is from RNAcentral. Lineage: Eukaryota; Metazoa; Chordata; Mammalia; Primates; Cercopithecidae.